AUUGAACGCUGGCGGCAUGCCUUACACAUGCAAGUCGAACGGUAACAGGUCUUCGGAUGCUGACAAGUGGCGAACGGGUGAGUAAUACAUCGGAACGUGCCUAGUAGUGGGGGAUAACUACUCGAAAGAGUGGCUAAUACCGCAUGAGAUCUACGGAUGAAAGCAGGGGAUCGCAAGACCUUGUGCUACUAGAGCGGCCGAUGGCAGAUUAGGUAGUUGGUGGGAUAAAAGCUUACCAAGCCGACGAUCUGUAGCUGGUCUGAGAGGACGAUCAGCCACACUGGGACUAAGACAAGGCCCAGACUCCUAAGGGAGGCGGCAGUGGGGGAUUUUGGACGAUGGUCGCAAGCCUGAUCCAGCAAUGCCGCGUGCAGUAUGAAGGCCUUCGAGUUGUAAACUGCUUUUGUACGGAACGAAAAGCCCCGGGUUAAUACCCUGGGGUCAUGACGGUACCGUAAGAAUAAGCACCGGCUAACUACGUGCCAGCCGCCGCGGUAA
RNAcentral lists this ribosomal RNA (498 nucleotides) under uncultured bacterium. RNAcentral's name for it is "partial 16S ribosomal RNA". It matches the Rfam family "Bacterial small subunit ribosomal RNA", at positions 30 to 523 of the family's 1533-position model. The record is from RNAcentral.